CAGUCGCCGCGGGAAUACCUAGGUGGCAAGCGUUGUCCGGAAUUAUUGGGCGUAAAGGGCUCGCAGGCGGUUUCUUAAGUCUGAUGUGAAAGCCCCCGGCUCAACCGGGGAGGGUCAUUGGAAACUGGGAAACUUGAGUGCAGAAGAGGAGAGUGGAAUUCCACGUGUAGCGGUGAAAUGCGUAGAGAUGUGGAGGAACACCAGUGGCGAAGGCGACUCUCUGGUCUGUAGCUGACGCUGAGGAGCGAAAGCGUGGGGAGCGAACAGGAUUAGAUACCCGCGUAGUCCCUGUCUCUUAUAC
This 301-nucleotide ribosomal RNA is filed under the name uncultured bacterium. RNAcentral describes it as "partial 16S ribosomal RNA". It matches the Rfam family "Bacterial small subunit ribosomal RNA", at positions 509 to 807 of the family's 1533-position model. The record is from RNAcentral.